GUGCCGGUGGGUGAAUUGGUCCAGCCACCGGAUUGCAAAUCCGUCAAUGCAGGUUCGAGUCCUGUCCGGCACUCCA
Molecule: transfer RNA, 76 nt
Filed under: Rhizobium leguminosarum bv. viciae
Lineage: Bacteria; Pseudomonadati; Pseudomonadota; Alphaproteobacteria; Hyphomicrobiales; Rhizobiaceae
Description: tRNA-Cys
Rfam family: tRNA
About the family: Transfer RNA (tRNA) molecules are approximately 80 nucleotides in length.
Source: RNAcentral